AGGGAAUCUUCCACAAUGGACGCAAGUCUGAUGGAGCAACGGCCGCGUGAGUGAAGAAGGUUUUCGGACCGUAAAGCUCUGUUGUUGGUGAAGAAGGAUAGAGGUAGUAACUGGCCUUUAUUUGACGGUAAUCAACCAGAAAGUCACGGCUAACUACGUGCCAGCAGCCGCGGUAAUACGUAGGUGGCAAGCGUUGUCCGGAUUUAUUGGGCGUAAAGCGAGCGCAGGCGGAAGAAUAAGUCUGAUGUGAAAGCCCUCGGCUUAACCGAGGAAUUGCAUCGGAAACUGUUUUUCUUGAGUGCAGAAGAGGAGAGUAGAACUCCAUGUGUAGCGGUGGAAUGCGUAGAUAUAUGGAAGAAUACCAGUGGCGAAGGCGGCUCUCUGGUCUGCAACUGACGCUGAGGCUCGAAAGCAUGGGUAGCGAACAGGAUUAGAUACCCUGGUAGUCCAUGCCGUAAACGAUGAGUGCUAAGUGUUGGGAGGCUUCCGCCUCUCAGUGCUGCAGCUAA
Molecule: ribosomal RNA, 509 nt
Filed under: uncultured bacterium
Lineage: Bacteria
Description: partial 16S ribosomal RNA
Rfam family: Bacterial small subunit ribosomal RNA
Source: RNAcentral